Molecule: ribosomal RNA, 460 nt
Filed under: uncultured bacterium
Lineage: Bacteria
Description: partial 16S ribosomal RNA
Rfam family: Bacterial small subunit ribosomal RNA
Source: RNAcentral
CCUACGGGAGGCAGCAGUGAGGAAUAUUGGUCAAUGGACGAGAGUCUGAACCAGCCAAGUAGCGUGAAGGAUGACUGCCCUAUGGGUUGUAAACUUCUUUUAUAUGGGAAUAAAAUGUUCCACGUGUGGGCUUUUGUAUGUACCUUAUGAAUAAGGAUCGGCUAACUCCGUGCCAGCAGCCGCGGUAAUACGGAGGAUCCGAGCGUUAUCCGGAUUUAUUGGGUUUAAAGGGAGCGUAGGUGGAUUGUUAAGUCAGUUGUGAAAGUGUGCGGCUCAACCGUAAAAUUGCAGUUGAGACUGGCAGUCUUGAGUACAGUCGAGGUAGGCGGAAUGCGUGGUGUAGCGGUGAAAUGCUUAGAUAUCACGAAGAACUCCGAUUGCGAAGGCAGCUCACUAAACUGCGACUGACACUGAUGCUCGAAAGUGUGGGUAUCAAACAGGAUUAGAUACACUUGUAGUC